This 499-nucleotide ribosomal RNA is filed under the name uncultured bacterium. RNAcentral describes it as "partial 16S ribosomal RNA". It matches the Rfam family "Bacterial small subunit ribosomal RNA", at positions 899 to 1397 of the family's 1533-position model. The record is from RNAcentral.
ACUCAAAUGAAUAGACGGGAGCCCGCACAAGCGGUGGAGCAUGUGGUUUAAUUCGAUGCAACGCGAAGAACCUUACCUGGGCUCGAAGUGUAGUGUAAACUCAUGAAAGUGAGGUAUUCCUUCGGGAAGCGCUACAUAGGUGCUGCAUGGCUGUCGUCAGCUCGUGUCGUGAGAUGUUGGGUUAAGUCCCGCAACGAGCGCAACCCUUGUCCUUAGUUGCCAUCAGGUAAAGCUGGGAACUCUAAGGAGACUGCCGGCGUUAAGUCGGAGGAAGGUGGGGAUGACGUCAAGUCCUCAUGGCCCUUACGUCCAGGGCUACACACGUGCUACAAUGGCUGGUACAAAACGUCGCAAAACCGCGAGGUCAAGCUAAUCGUAAAAAACCAGUCUCAGUUCGGAUUGUACUCUGCAACUCGAGUACAUGAAGUUGGAAUCGCUAGUAAACGCGAAUCAGCAGGUCGCGUUGAAUACGUUCCCGGGCUUUGUACACACCGCCCGU